Molecule: ribosomal RNA, 468 nt
Filed under: uncultured bacterium
Lineage: Bacteria
Description: partial 16S ribosomal RNA
Rfam family: Bacterial small subunit ribosomal RNA
Source: RNAcentral
GACGAACGCUGGCGGCGUGCUUAACACAUGCCAGUCGAACGGAAAGGCCCUGCUUUUGUGGGGUGCUCGAGUGGCGAACGGGUGAGUAACACGUGAGUAACCUGCCCUUGACUUUGGGAUAACUUCAGGAAACUGGGGCUAAUACCGGAUAGGAGCUCCUGCUGCAUGGUGGGGGUUGGAAAGUUUCGGCGGUUGGGGAUGGACUCGCGGCUUAUCAGCUUGUUGGUGGGGUAGUGGCUUACCAAGGCUUUGACGGGUAGCCGGCCUGAGAGGGUGACCGGCCACAUUGGGACUGAGAUAGGGCCCAGACUCCAACGGGAGGCAGCAGUGGGGAAUAUUGCACAAUGGGCGGAAGCCUGAUGCAGCAACGCCGCGUGCGGGAUGACGGCCUUCGGGUUGUAAACCGCUUUCGCCUGUGACGAAGCGUGAGUGACGGUAAUGGGUAAAGAAGCACCGGCUAACUACGUG